RNAcentral lists this ribosomal RNA (254 nucleotides) under uncultured bacterium. RNAcentral describes it as "partial 16S ribosomal RNA". It matches the Rfam family "Bacterial small subunit ribosomal RNA", at positions 524 to 775 of the family's 1533-position model. The record is from RNAcentral.
UACGUAGGGGGCAAGCGUUGUCCGGAAUCAUUGGGCGUAAAGCGCGUGUAGGCGGUCCGGUAAGUCCGCUGUGAAAGUCGGGGGCUCAACCCUCGGAUGCCGGUGGAUACUGUCGGGCUUGAGUACGGAAGAGGCGAGUGGAAUUCCUGGUGGUAGCGGUGAAAUGCGCAGAUAUCAGGAAGAACGACCCGUGGCUAAGGCGGCUCUCUAGUACGGUACUGACGCUGAGACGCGAAAGCGUGGGGAGCAAACAG